GAGCAUUCUGGUUGCGGAGAAGCCGUACUGUCAGGUAUGGUGGAGCGUCCAGAAAAGCACAUGUAGGCAUGAGUAACGAUAAAAUGGGUGCGAAACCCAUUCGCCGAUAGACUAAGGUUUCCAAUUCAACGCUAAUCGGAAUUGGGUUAGGCGGGACCUAAGGGAUAGCCGACAGGUGUACCCGAUGGCAAGCCAGUUGAUAUUCUGGCCCCCGGUUGUAGAAGUGAUGCAGGGACACAGGAAUGAAAGUACCGCGAGCGGACGGAAGUGCUCGUUAAAGCCCGUACCUAGUGGUUGAGUAGUUAAGUACGCUCGACUAGGGGAAAGGUGAUAGUACUGCACGGCCUUCGGGCCACGCAGAUAGUGUACCUAAGGACUGUCAAGAAAAGCUGCUAAACGUUGUAUCUACAUUCGGCCCGUACCGCAAACCGACACAGGUAGUCAAGGAGAGAAUCCUGAGGCGCUCGAGUGAAUCACGGCCAAGGAACUCGGCAAAAUGGUCCUGUAACUUCGGGAGAAGGGACGCUUCCUCUAGUGAUAGAGAAGCCGCAGUGAAAAGACCCAAGCGACUGUUUAACAAAAACACAUGGCUUUGCUAACGCGUAAGCGGACGUAUAAGGCCUGACACCUGCCCGGUGCUGGAAGGUUAAGAGGGGAGCUUAGUCGCAAGGCGAAGGCUUGAAUCGAAGCCCCAGUAAACGGCGGCCGUAACUAUAACGGUCCUAAG
RNAcentral lists this ribosomal RNA (727 nucleotides) under Minutocellus polymorphus. RNAcentral describes it as "partial Bacterial large subunit ribosomal RNA". It matches the Rfam family "Bacterial large subunit ribosomal RNA", at positions 1234 to 1955 of the family's 2925-position model. Lineage: Eukaryota; Bacillariophyta; Thalassiosirophyceae; Cymatosirales; Cymatosiraceae. The record is from RNAcentral.